UUAGAGUUUGAUCCUGGCUCAGGAUGAACGCUAGCGGCAGGCUUAACACAUGCAAGUCGAGGGGCAGCAUGUCCAGCAAUGGAUGAUGGCGACCGGCGGAAGGGUGCGUAACGCGUGAGCAACAUGCCCUAUACAGGGAGAUACACCAGGGAAACUUGGUCUAAUAUCCCAUAGCAUUCAUUGAAGGCAUCUUUAAUGAAUUAAAGCUUCGGUGGUAUAGGAUUGGCUCGCGUGACAUUAGCCAGAUGGUGAGGUAACGGCUCACCAUAGCAAUGAUGUCUAGGGGUUUUGAGAGGAAGGCCCCCCACACUGGGACUGAGACACGGCCCAGACUCCUACGGGAGGCAGCAGUGAGGAAUAUUGGACAAUGGAUGGAAAUCUGAUCCAGCCAUGCCGCGUGCAGGAAGACGGCCUUAUGGGUUGUAAACUGCUUUUAUACGGGAGCAAUAAGGGUUACGAGUAAUCCGAUGGGAGUACUGUAUGAAUAAGGAUCGGCUAACUCCGUGCCAGCAGCCGCGGUAAUACGGAGGAUCCGAGCGUUAUCCGGAAUUACUGGGUGUAAAGGGAGCGUAGGUGGCAAGUCAAGUCAGAUGUGAAAGCCCGGGGCUCAACCCCGGGAUUGCAUUUGAAACUGGUUUGCUAGAGUGCAGAAGAGGUAAGUGGAAUUCCAUGUGUAGCGGUGAAAUGCGUAGAUAUAUGGAGGAACACCAGUGGCGAAGGCGACUUACUGGUCUGUGAUUGACGCUGAGGCUCGAAAGCGUGGGUAGCGAACAGGAUUAGAUACCCUGGUAGUCCACGCCGUAAACGAUGAGUGCUAAGUGUUGGAGGGUUUCCGCCCUUCAGUGCUGGAGUUAACGCAUUAAGCACUCCGCCUGGGGAGUACGGCCGCAAGGCUGAAACUCAAAGGAAUUGACGGGGACCCGCACAAGCGGUGGAGCAUGUGGUUUAAUUCGAUGCAACGCGAAGAACCUUACCAGGUCUUGACAUCCAAAGAACCUUUAGGAAACUAAGGGGUGCCUUAGGGAGCUUUGAGACAGGUGGUGCAUGGUUGUCGUCAGCUCGUGUCGUGAGAUGUUGGGUUAAGUCCCGCAACGAGCGCAACCCUUGCUAUUAGUUGCUAACAUUCAGUUGAGCACUCUAAUGGGACUGCCCGUGACAAGCGGGAGGAAGGUGGGGAUGACGUCAAAUCAUCAUGCCCUUUAUGAUCUGGGCUACACACGUGCUACAAUGGAUGGUACAGAGAGCAGCGAGACAGUGAUGUGGAGCGAAUCUCAAAAAGCCAUUCUCAGUUCGGAUUGCAGGCUGCAACUCGCCUGCAUGAAGUCGGAAUCGCUAGUAAUCGCGCAUCAGCCAUGGCGCGGUGAAUACGUUCCCGGGCCUUGCACACACCGCCCGUCAAG
This 1400-nucleotide ribosomal RNA is filed under the name uncultured bacterium. Its description in RNAcentral is "partial 16S ribosomal RNA". It matches the Rfam family "Bacterial small subunit ribosomal RNA". The record is from RNAcentral.